UUUGAGGCUUAGGGGAGGAACCAUGAUUAAGGUGAGACGCUCACUGGAAAAGAAAUUGAAAUUGACAUCGAACCAACUGAUACCAUUGAUCGUAUCAAGGAACGAGUCGAAGAGAAAGAAGAAUUCCUCCAGUUCAGCAAAGGCUUAUAUAUGCGGGGAAGCAACUUGCAGAUGACAACAGCGCGUGACUACAAUAUUGAGGGUGGAUCUGUGCUGCAUCUCGUGCUUGCACUGAGGGGUGGCUGUAUCUAGAUGGUCCCUCAAAUAUUUGACAGAAUCUGCUCCGAUUUUUCUUUGGCUUAAAACCUACAUGGAACGUAUAUGAAUUGAUUUUCGCAGACGCAGAUUGUGUGUUGUAUUAUUAUAAUAUUGCCUUCUUUGGAUGGCCGGGAGAUAAAAAGAUUGAAAAGAAAGUCUGGGUUUUCCUA
Molecule: long non-coding RNA, 428 nt
Organism: Hibiscus syriacus
Lineage: Eukaryota; Viridiplantae; Streptophyta; Magnoliopsida; Malvales; Malvaceae
Exons: 2
Source: RefSeq, a predicted model, not a curated record